UGGCUCAGUGGGUAGAGCAUGGUGUUUGCAACGCCAGGGUUGUGGGUUUAAUUCCCAC
RNAcentral lists this transfer RNA (58 nucleotides) under Salmo salar (Atlantic salmon). It matches the Rfam family "tRNA", at positions 8 to 63 of the family's 71-position model. Rfam says of the family: Transfer RNA (tRNA) molecules are approximately 80 nucleotides in length. The record is from Rfam by way of RNAcentral. Lineage: Eukaryota; Metazoa; Chordata; Actinopteri; Salmoniformes; Salmonidae.